This 294-nucleotide ribosomal RNA is filed under the name uncultured Pseudomonas sp. RNAcentral's name for it is "partial 16S ribosomal RNA". It matches the Rfam family "Bacterial small subunit ribosomal RNA", at positions 1089 to 1382 of the family's 1533-position model. The record is from RNAcentral. Lineage: Bacteria; Pseudomonadati; Pseudomonadota; Gammaproteobacteria; Pseudomonadales; Pseudomonadaceae.
GUAACGAGCGCAACCCUUGUCCUUAGUUACCAGCACGUUAUGGUGGGCACUCUAAGGAGACUGCCGGUGACAACCGGAGGAAGGUGGGGAUGACGUCAAGUCAUCAUGGCCCGUUACGGCCGUGGGCUACACACGUGCUACAAUGGUCGGUCAAAGGGUUGCCAAGCCGCGAGGUGGAGCUAAUCCCAUAAAACCGAUCGUAGUCCGGAUCGCAGUCUGCAACUCGACUGCGUGAAGUCGGAAUCGCUAGUAAUCGUGAAUCAGAAUGUCACGGUGAAUACGUUCCCGGGCCUU